RNAcentral lists this ribosomal RNA (609 nucleotides) under uncultured bacterium. RNAcentral describes it as "bacterial SSU rRNA". It matches the Rfam family "Bacterial small subunit ribosomal RNA", at positions 331 to 931 of the family's 1533-position model. The record is from RNAcentral.
CCAGACUCCUACGGGAGGCAGCAGUGGGGAAUCUUCCGCAAUGGACGAAAGUCUGACGGAGCAACGCCGCGUGAGUGAUGACGGCCUUCGGGUUGUAAAGCUCUGUUAAUCGGGACGAAAGGCCUUCUUGCGAAUAGUGAGAAGGAUUGACGGUACCGGAAUAGAAAGCCACGGCUAACUACGUGCCAGCAGCCGCGGUAAUACGUAGGUGGCAAGCGUUGUCCGGAAUUAUUGGGCGUAAAGCGCGCGCAGGCGGAUAGGUCAGUCUGUCUUAAAAGUUCGGGGCUUAACCCCGUGAUGGGAUGGAAACUGCCAAUCUAGAGUAUCGGAGAGGAAAGUGGAAUUCCUAGUGUAGCGGUGAAAUGCGUAGAUAUUAGGAAGAACACCAGUGGCGAAGGCGACUUUCUGGACGAAAACUGACGCUGAGGCGCGAAAGCCAGGGGAGCGAACGGGAUUAGAUACCCCGGUAGUCCUGGCUGUAAACGAUGGGUACUAGGUGUAGGAGGUAUCGACCCCUUCUGUGCCGGAGUUAACGCAAUAAGUACCCCGCCUGGGGAGUACGACCGCAAGGUUGAAACUCAAAGGAAUUGACGGGGGCCCGCACAAGAA